Molecule: unclassified non-coding RNA, 348 nt
Filed under: soil metagenome
Description: partial contains 5.8S ribosomal RNA, internal transcribed spacer 2, and large subunit ribosomal RNA
Rfam family: 5.8S ribosomal RNA (bases 1-120)
Source: RNAcentral
GAUGAAGAACGUAGCAAAAUGCGAUAAGUAAUGUGAAUUGCAGAAUUCAGUGAAUCAUCGAAUCUUUGAACGCACAUUGCGCCCGCUGGUAUUCCGGCGGGCAUGCCUGUUCGAGCGUCAUUUCAACCCUCAAGCCCCCGGGUUUGGUGUUGGGGAUCGGCUCUGCCCUUCUGGGCGGUGCCGCCCCCGAAAUACAUUGGCGGUCUCGCUGCAGCCUCCAUUGCGUAGUAGCUAACACCUCGCAACUGGAACGCGGCGCGGCCAUGCCGUAAAACCCCAACUUCUGAAUGUUGACCUAGGAUCAGGUAGGAAUACCCGCUGAACUUAAGCAUAUCAAUAAGCGGAGGA